GACGAACGCUGGCGGCGUGCUUAACACAUGCAAGUCGAACGGAAAGGCCCUGCUUUUGUGGGGUGCUCGAGUGGCGAACGGGUGAGUAACACGUGAGUAACCUGCCCUUGACUUUGGGAUAACUUCAGGAAACUGGGGCUAAUACCGGAUAGGAGCUCCUGCUGCAUGGUGGGGGUUGGAAAGUUUCGGCGGUUGGGGAUGGACUCGCGGCUUAUCAGCUUGUUGGUGGGGUAGUGGCUUACCAAGGCUUUGACGGGUAGCCGGCCUGAGAGGGUGAACGGCCACAUUGGGACUGAGAUACGGACCAGACUCCUACGGGAGGCAGCAGUGGGGAAUAUUGCACAAUGGGCGGAAGCCUGAUGCAGCAACGCCGCGUGCAGGAUGCCGGCCUUCGGGUUGUAAACCGCUUUCGCCUGUGACGAAGCGUGAGUGACGGUAAUGGGUAAAGAAGCACCGGCUAACUACGUG
RNAcentral lists this ribosomal RNA (468 nucleotides) under uncultured bacterium. RNAcentral's name for it is "partial 16S ribosomal RNA". It matches the Rfam family "Bacterial small subunit ribosomal RNA", at positions 28 to 507 of the family's 1533-position model. The record is from RNAcentral.